AUGUGGAGUGCAGAUCUUCAAGUGAAUGUACAUAUCUCUAACUUCCUUGUUAUCCUUGCUUCAGUAGUCAAUGUAGCUUCCAGAGAGGAAGUUGCGUUGGUUUGUGUUUAUGGGGAUCCUUACCAUAAGCAGAUUAGUCAAAUUUGGGAUCUUGUGGCUUCUUUUGUGUAUGAUAAUGUCAACAAGCCAAUAGUUUGUAUGGGAGACAUGAAUGACUUGUUGUAUGAUAUGGACAAAAGCUCCCAUCAUGUUAAUACUAAUCGUAUCAGUGCUUUCCGUAACAUUGUCAAAAAUUGUGGUUUCUUUGAUUUGGGAUAUAGUGGCCAUGCUUACACUUGGACUAACAAACGCUAUACUUCUAUGCCUAUUUUUGAGCGCCUUGAUAUAUGCUUGGUCAAUGCUGAAUGGUGUGCCUUGUAUCCGAUUACUAAUGUUUACAAUCUACCUAUCACUAUUAGCGAUCAUGCUCCCUUCUCAUAUCCACGGAUGGUAAAUUUAAAAAGCCUUUACAAAGUUUCAAAUUUGAAAAUUGGUGGCUUAUGGAAAAGAAUUUUCAUGCUUAUACUAAAGCUUCUUGGAGUAGCACUGCUCAUUGUCCUUUCUAUGCUAGAACUAAUCACCUUGCAGGGUCUCUCAAAAAUGGUGUAA
Molecule: ribosomal RNA, 648 nt
Filed under: Triticum aestivum (bread wheat)
Lineage: Eukaryota; Viridiplantae; Streptophyta; Magnoliopsida; Poales; Poaceae
Description: partial small subunit ribosomal RNA
Source: RNAcentral